This is a long non-coding RNA of Triticum dicoccoides, 2473 nucleotides long. RefSeq lists it as uncharacterized. The transcript has 5 exons. Lineage: Eukaryota; Viridiplantae; Streptophyta; Magnoliopsida; Poales; Poaceae. The record is from RefSeq and is a predicted model, not a curated record.
UCUCCUCCUACCUCUUCUGCUUCCUUCCUCCUCCCCGGAUCUGCAUCCCAUAUGAGGAGUAAAAAUGGUGGCGGUAGAGCACGGGGUUGGUGAUAGCGGUUGGACGAGGUAGUCCACAGGCGAGGAACGGCCACAAAGCAUCCAUCCGGCCACCCCACCGGAGCCUCGGCGGCUGCAAUGGCGCUGCCAUUCUCUCUCUCUCAUGCCAUUGUUUCCCUCCCUCAUCCAUCGACACAGCCCGGUCCACCUCACCGAGAGCUCUCAGUGGUAGGGGAAUGGCAGCGACGGUGGCUGCUAGACAGUAGAGGCUCGCCGAGGUGGUCCAUUCCAAGGAAGAGGGAGACGAUGUCGGUGACAAGGAGAGGGUGGAGAUGAAAUGGGGCCAAAUGUUCCUGCGGCAACAAUAGCAGAUCUGAAUUUGUGUUGCUAGGGUGCAGACUGGCCUGGUUUCGAGGAAAAACAUGAAGAUUCAAUUGCCAUUUUCUCUUGCCAAUUCCAUUUUCAGCAACUUUCAGAGAUGCCUCUUCAUUUGUUAGAAAAAAACAUGGAGAUUCAAGUGCAUCUUUUCCUGCCAAUUCCAUUUUCAUAAACUUUCAAAGAUCUUCAUUUGUUAGAAAAUACUUUUUUUGAAUUAUGAGCUUGGUCUUUCAACAUGGCAUACAAAAUGUACCUUUGAAUAUAAUAUUAUGUUGCUACUUGCAAAGUUUUUUGUGUGCUAAAUUGUUGUUCAAAUUUCCAAGAACAUGUUAAUUUUAUGUGGCUGCAGAGGGGUAUAUCAAGUUAUGAGCAGGGUGCAUCAAUGGCUCACAGCGGAGGAAGCGGCGGUGACUGCUAUUGCUGCAGCAAGGCGCUAGCUAGCUAGGUGUAGCUGACACAAUAAGGUUGCCUCCCUGGUUCCCCCUGAUCUGCGCGGUUGGACCUUCAUAGCGUUGUUCAACCACAUCCACAUGGUGGUAUGUGCGAGCGAUGACGCUGGUGGCCUGUGGCCAGAUAUGGAGGCUUAGCUAAUGCAGCGGCAUGGCAACUUAGAUGCGAGCACUAGCUGUUUGUAUAAAUGCACAAGGAGGAGUGCUCAGGGGAGGACGAUAGUUGUUUGUAUAAAUGCACAAGGAGGAGUGCUUAGGGGAGGACGAUAGCUUUCAGGUGUACAUGGAGGAGGUGAAGGCGACUACAGAGGAGCUUGCCGUAGCUGCUCACCUGCUCCGGGAAUCCUCUUGACAGAAGCACGAUGCCAUGUCCUAGAGUUUGUUCACGUACUUCUAUCUGCCUAUAAUAUAUGCUGACAAUUAUAUGUGACUUAUUAAUUAGCUAAAACUUGAGAGGUUAAGGACAAGUGUUUUCAAAUGAAGGAAUAUAGCGUACGUACAGCUAAUUACAUACACAUAUGCAUCAUUCCAUAAUAAUUGGAAGUUUGGAUAUUAGGUAUUUGUUAAAGACCAGGGAUCCUAAUUGGCCAUUCCCAUACCACAGUUUUCACUGUAUGUAUCUCAUGAACAUUAUCAUUAUGCUCUGUACCAGAAUUGUCACUGUAUCUCAUCAUUGUUUGGAGUAUACCUUUGCAGCUCCAUAGUUAUUAGAAUGGUUUUACUUCCACAUAAUAGCCUUGUUCAAAUAAAAUCACAAGACCUUCGUAAGCUUGCUUAGUUACUAUGGAGAAGGGCCUUCUUCCAAGGAGCUGUAGAUUUUGAAUAUGCUGCUGGUUGGACACUUUUUCCACUAUAUGUACAGAAUAGGGGUAGGGAAGAGCGCAACUUAGGUUUUGGGGCAGGCCUCACUAGCAAUUAUGGCAUCCUCUUAUUUGGUUGCAGGUUACUUGCCUUGUUCUUUCAACCCAUCUCAAGAAUUAUAGUGCAGUUUUUGUGGAGAGCCCAUGUUGGUUUGCUUGAUUUAUGUUCAAAAUGGACAAUACAAUGCUCUUUGAGUCAAGUUUGUAUAUAUUCCGAGUACUCCUUUAUUAUUUAUCAACUGAGGCAUGAUUGUUGUUGCACUUCUUGCUAAAAAUAAACCUGGUGUUAUUUUCUUUGAGAAAAGAAAUAGACGGCUCAGAUGUGUGCUUCUUAGCAUCACAUCAAAUUGAAUAAUCGAAUAGGGUUAUAUAUCAUCAUAUCUGCAUACAUAAUAUCUUCUGUAAUUAUAUACCGGUGUAGGCUCUUGUUGUUAGAUGAUGAACUUAUGUUAUGUUAUGCCAAGUAGUUAAAUUUAUGUGCACCUUCUCAUGUGUUUACUUGUUUCUGCUUUUAUAGUAUGGCUUGGUCCUGUUGUGAAAAAAGAUCCUGAUAUGUUUGACUAUUCUGUUUUUUCUUUAUCCAAUGACCUAUUAAUGUGCUUUGAGCAUAUGACAAUUGUUUCCUCACUAUCUUAGAUUAGUUGUAAUCCUUCUUUUAUGUUUCUGCAAUUUCAGUUCCUGCCUUUUGAAAUUUCCUUUGCAUUCUGUAUCUGCACAUCCCCUCUUGUGGUCUGUUGUAAUGGUCUA